GACGAACGCUGGCGGCGUGCUUAACACAUGCAAGUCGAACGGAAAGGCCCUGCUUUUGUGGGGUGCUCGAGUGGCGAACGGGUGAGUAACACGUGAGUAACCUGCCCUUGACUUUGGGAUAACUUCAGGAAACUGGGGCUAAUACCGGAUAGGAGCUCCUGCUGCAUGGUGGGGGGUGGAAAGUUUCGGCGGUUGGGGAUGGACUCGCGGCUUAUCAGCUUGUUGGUGGGGUAGUGGCUUACCAAGGCUUUGACGGGUAGCCGGCCUGAGAGGGUGACCGGCCACAUUGGGACUGAGAUACGGCCCAGACUCCUACGGGAGGCAGCAGUGGGGAAUAUUGCACAAUGGGCGGAAGCCUGAUGCAGCAACGCCGCGUGCGGGAUGACGGCCUUCGGGUUGUAAACCGCUUUCGCCUGUGACGAAGCGUGAGUGACGGUAAUGGGUAAAGAAGCACCAGCUAACUACGUG
Molecule: ribosomal RNA, 468 nt
Filed under: uncultured bacterium
Lineage: Bacteria
Description: partial 16S ribosomal RNA
Rfam family: Bacterial small subunit ribosomal RNA
Source: RNAcentral